RNAcentral lists this ribosomal RNA (434 nucleotides) under uncultured Ruminococcus sp. RNAcentral's name for it is "partial 16S ribosomal RNA". It matches the Rfam family "Bacterial small subunit ribosomal RNA", at positions 341 to 792 of the family's 1533-position model. Lineage: Bacteria; Bacillati; Bacillota; Clostridia; Eubacteriales; Oscillospiraceae. The record is from RNAcentral.
ACGGGAGGCAGCAGUGGGGAAUAUUGCACAAUGGGGGCAAGCCUGAUGCAGCGAUGCCGCGUGAGGGAAGAAGGUUUUCGGAUUGUAAACCUCUGUCAACAGGGACGAAAAUGACGGUACCUGAGAAGGAAGCUCCGGCUAAAUACGUGCCAGCAGCCGCGGUAGUACGUAGGGAGCAAGCGUUAUCCGGAUUUACUGGGUGUAAAGGGAGUGUAGGCGGGACUGUAAGUCAGAUGUGAAAUAUGCCGGCUCAACUGGCAGACUGCAUUUGAAACUGCUGUUCUUGAGUGAAGUAGAGGUAAGCGGAAUUCCUAGUGUAGCGGUGAAAUGCGUAGAUAUUAGGAGGAACAUCAGUGGCGAAGGCGGCUUACUGGACUUUAACUGACGCUGAGGCUCGAAAGCGUGGGGAGCAAACAGGAUUAGAUACCCUGGUA